Molecule: ribosomal RNA, 449 nt
Filed under: uncultured bacterium
Lineage: Bacteria
Description: SSU rRNA
Rfam family: Bacterial small subunit ribosomal RNA
Source: RNAcentral
AGGAUGAACGCUGGCGGUCUGCUUAACACAUGCAAGUCGAACGGGCGUAGCAAUACGUUAGUGGCGGACGGGUGAGUAACGCGUGAGAAUCUACCUUCAGGACGGAGACAACAGUUGGAAACGACUGCUAACCCCCGAUGUACUGAAAAGGCAAAUAUUUAUAGCCUGAAGAAGAGCUCGCGUCCGAUUAGCUAGUUGGAGAGGUAAAAGCUCACCAAGGCGACGAUCGGUAGCUGGUCUGAGAGGACGAUCAGCCACACUGGGACUGAGACACGGCCCAGACUCCUACGGGAGGCAGCAGUGGGGAAUUUUCCGCAAUGGGCGAAAGCCUGACGGAGCAAGACCGCGUGGGGGAAGAAGGCUCUUGGGUUGUAAACCCCUUUUCUCUGGGAAGACACAAUGACGGUACCAGAGGAAUCAGCAUCGGCUAACUCCGUGCCAGCAGCCGC